AAUCAACGCUGGCGGCGUGCCUAACACAUGCAAGUCGCACGAGAAAGGGAGCAAUCCCUGAGUAAAGUGGCGCACGGGUGAGUAACACGUGAAUCAUCUACCUCCGAGUGGGGAAUAAACUGAGAGAAAUCUUAGCUAAUACCGCAUAACACUUACGAGUCAAAGCUAGCAAUGCGCUUGGAGAGGAGUUCGCGGCCGAUUAGUUAGUUGGCGGGGUAA
Molecule: ribosomal RNA, 219 nt
Filed under: uncultured bacterium
Lineage: Bacteria
Description: partial 16S ribosomal RNA
Rfam family: Bacterial small subunit ribosomal RNA
Source: RNAcentral